AGUGAACGCUGGCGGUAGGCCUAACACAUGCAAGUCGAACGGCAGCACAGUAAGAGCUUGCUCUUACGGGUGGCGAGUGGCGGACGGGUGAGGAAUACAUCGGAAUCUACUCUUUCGUGGGGGAUCACGUAGGGAAACUUACGCUAAUACCGCAUACGCCCUACGGGUGAAAGCAGUGGAUCUUCUGACCUUGUGCGAUUGAAUGAGCCGAUGUCGGAUUAGCUAGUUGGCGGGGUAAUGGCCCACCACGGCGACGAUCCGUAGCUGGUGUGAGAGGAUGGUAAGCCACACUGGAGCGGAGACGCGGUCCAGGCUACUACGGGAGGCAGCAGUGGGGAAUGUUAGACAAUGGGCGCAAGCCUGAUCCAGCCAUACCGAGUAGGUGAAGGAAGCCUUCGGGUUGUGAAGCCGUUUUGUUGGGAAAGAAAAGCAGCAGGUUGAUACCCCGCUGUUCUGACGGUACCCAAUGAAUAAGCACCGGCUAACUUCGUG
RNAcentral lists this ribosomal RNA (492 nucleotides) under uncultured bacterium. Its description in RNAcentral is "partial 16S ribosomal RNA". It matches the Rfam family "Bacterial small subunit ribosomal RNA", at positions 29 to 507 of the family's 1533-position model. The record is from RNAcentral.